Molecule: long non-coding RNA, 3352 nt
Organism: Alligator mississippiensis (American alligator)
Lineage: Eukaryota; Metazoa; Chordata; Crocodylia; Alligatoridae
Exons: 5
Source: RefSeq, a predicted model, not a curated record
GUCAACCCCCCAUCCCCCUUCCCCUUGGCAGCAGCUCCUGCGAUGCUUUUUGUGCCUAUCUCCAAACCCCAGACUCUUUUGUAUACACCCCCCCUCCGCAUCUGCUUUAGGAGCUUGCUCUGCUACCUGUGAUAAGGCAAAGCUCCCUAUUAAAAAAAAAAAAAAAAGACCCCCUCUAAAGCAACCCACUCCGGUUGCCUUCUCCAUUAGAAACCAUUUUGCACUUUAGAAACCCAGAGGUUUGAAAGAGAGAGGGAGAGAGAGAGAGAGAGAGAGAGGCAUUUCCAAUAGUCACACUUGUCAAGUGAGACCAUCUUUUACCCCUCAGCAGCAGCAAAUCCAUGUGAACUCUGGGUGAACCAAGAUUGAGGUCCUUAUUUCCACCGUUCCCCUCGCAAGUUCCGCGCUGCUUCUGCUCCAUAAUUGGACUUAUCUCCCCCUCGCACACACACAGACCCACAGACACACAAACCCCAGCCUGUGAUUUAUGGCAUUUAUGCAAAAAUGUCUGAAACGAGCAGGGCCCUGGAAGGCUUCAAAAAAAGUUUAAGGCACGCGCGCACACGCACACGCACACACACACACACACACACACAGGCACACACACACAUCCACGCUUGACUAAUCUAAUAUGACAAACAAUAUGAUGGAUAUAGUUUAUGUUAAUUCGCGAUGCCCUUUCCUGCAGAAUUUAACUGUAAGGUAAUGUACACCGGAAACUCCAAGUCUACAUGGUCUGCUAAUAGGCUGAGGUAUUAGCUGGUUCUAACGAUGCAUACAAAUGUACGUGUCUCUGUAGGCUGCCCAAAGAUUUAUGGCUCUUUUGCUUUCUCGAGCUGUAAACAAGGAGGGGAAGAAAAAAAAAACCCCGUCUAUGCACCACUUAUUACCUGCAGGAGCCUUUAAAAAAAUACAACCCACGUUGCAAAAAAAAGAGGGGAAAAAAAAAGAAAAAAGAAAAAAAAAAAAAGGAGAUUUCAGCCAAGCCUGCUACUUUUCUUCUAAAAAACCCUCGACCUAGAGGGUGCGUGUGUGUGUGUGCCACUUUUCUCCUAAAAAACCCUUGCUCUUGAGUGUGUGUGUGCCACUUUUCUUCUAAAAAAACCCUUGCCCUUGAGUGUGUGCGUGUGCCACUUUUCUCCUAAAAAACCCUUGCCCUUGAGUGUGUGCCACUUUUCUCCUAAAAAAAACCCUUGCCCUUGAGUGUGUGUGCCACUUUUCUCCUAAAAAAAACCCCUUGCCCUUGAGUGUGUGUGUCUGUGCCAUUUUUCUCCUAAAAUCACUUGCCCUUGAGUAUGUGUGUGUGUCACUUUUCUCCUAAAAAAAACCCCCUCACCCUGGAGGGGUGUGUGUGUGUCCGUGUGUGUGUGUGCUAUUUCUUUGCUCAUGUCUCGAACCAGAGGACAACAGCUGAAACUCACCCCCUCCCCCCUUCUUUUUUUUGCGGGGGGGGACUUCCCAGCAGCAGAACUUGUAUUCCUCCAGGCACAGAGAGGAGCCGGCUCGGAUUCAGACUCCCGGCACAAGGGCAGGAGGGGAAAAAAAGUUUCCAUUGAGAUGGGAAGAGAUGUUUUCCCCCCUUCUCGCCUUGAUGCAAAUUGCAACAAAGGAACAAUGAAGAUACCGCGUUCCCCGGCUACAUCUACGAAGCGAACUUUUGCUUUCUGUGUCUUUUUCUUUUUUCUUUUUUUCCCUUUUCUCCCCCUAGGUUCCUUCCUGCUUUGUUCCAGCGGAGCUUCCUGGGAUCCAAUCCUUCCCGUGGCAGAGAGGAGAAUAAUUGUGCCUUAGAAGAGAGUGGUAAAUAAGAAGGGAAAGGCUUUGCUUCUUGGAAAAAGAGGGAAAGAGAGAAAUAUGGUUGCUGCGUGAAGGUAGCUGUCUCUGAUGGCUCUCCUAGCAGGCCAGGCAUCGCGAGGGGAUUUUUCGUGUGAAUUUAUGUGAUCUUGCAAAUAUGUACAUACAUAUAUAUACAGUGUGUGUAUAUGUAUACAAUAUAUAUAUUAUAUAUAUAUAUAUAUAUAUAUAUGCACACACACACUGUAUAAAUAUGUGUGUCUACAUACACACACUGUAUAUAUAUAUAUACUAUAUAUAUAUAUAUAUAUAUACACACACAUACUAUAUAUAUAUACACACAUACAUGCAUACACACACAGUAUAUAUGUGUGUAUGGGUGUGUGUGAGAUCUUGCAAAUGUAUGUGUCUGUGUGUGUCUGUGUAUGUAUGUAAUAUAUGUAUAUGUAUGUCUAGAUGUGUGUAUAUGUAUGUGUGUGUAUGUGUAUGUGUAUACACAUAUAUAUCUAUGCAUAUGUAUAUAUAUAUACAUACACAUACAUGUCUACCGCUUGAGAAUGAUACCUUGAUACAUACACACACACGCAUAUAUAUAUACACACACGUGUGUAAGUGUAUAUUAUACACACACACACACACACACACACACACACACUAGAACACGAUAGCUUGAUGUCUCUGUCUCUCAUCUUUUGCUGGGAGUCUCCCGAGCCGGGCAGGACGGUGGAUAACGCGGGAUUCACCUGAACGAAACGCCCGUAUCUGUCUGCUCCGAUGCACGUUGGUGACACUUCAUCUAGGCGAGAAGCUGAAUUGGGAGACGGAGUCUUUUGUAGCCGAUGCCCCGGACUCGGAAAGGGAGAGGAAAGACCUGUGUUUUAUGCUCCAUUCGGGGCCACUUGGAAGCUGGAAGGCACGGGUACAAUUUUGCUGGAGACAUUGGGUCUAUUCCUGCCUUAGGGAGCUCAGCCGGGACGUUAUUUUCAAUUCCAACAUUUAUGGCAGGGAAAGGUGGGCCAGACAAUCGAUGUGUGUGAACCUGGAUGGAAAACUUCCCAGUCAUAACUCACUGCAGAAUGAGCAAUCGCCUCGAGUGCCUUAAAUACCUCUCACAAGGCUUUUCCGCACUUCGGACACUUAGAGAGAAUCACCCUCAUCCUCACCAGUGGAGGCCUCUCUUGCACACCUACCUAUAGGGUCUACGAUGUCCUGGUUCCUACACCUAUGAUGUCCUAAGACAGGCCGGGAAGCAAAAGGGAGGCCCCGACGCCCAGUGCUGUAUUGACCCAUGUCCACCCAGGUUUGAGAAAUGCCACCAGAGUCUGUUACAAGGAAGUGACUUUGAAUUAAAGUGGCAAAGGACUUGGAUGACCCCAUUGGGGGCGGGGAAAUCAGAGAGGUGUGUUGCCACUGGGAAAAUACAGGCAGGCCUUCAUGUAAAACCCAUGCUGCCUCCUGUACCAGCGUGCAGCCAGCCUGAGUCCGUAGCAUCUGACCCCUGCCAAUUCUUCCUGGCAUAAAACUGUUUCUUGUGGCUAAUAAAAGCAGGUGGAUUUCCUAA